This is a long non-coding RNA of Condylostylus longicornis, 430 nucleotides long. RefSeq lists it as uncharacterized. The transcript is spliced from 2 exons. The record is from RefSeq and is a predicted model, not a curated record. NCBI's taxonomy places the organism in Eukaryota, Metazoa, Arthropoda, Insecta, Diptera, Dolichopodidae.
UUUAUUUAAGAAAAAAAAAAUAAGAAAAAAAGAAAAUUAAUCUUCUACUCUUCUCCAUUUAUUCUCUAUUCAGUGUGUUUUUUUUUUUUGUAUAAAUUCCCCAACACAGAAAAAAAAAAAAAUUUUGUAUAGAUAGAAAAACCUCAUAGAAAAAACCAUAAACAAAAUUGAUAAAAAGCUCAAAAAAAUUGCCGAGCUAUUCCCUCCGUAUAAUUAUAUACAAAAGAUAAAUCAUUUAAUAUUCCAUAGAGAAGAGUAGCCAUAUAUUGUGGCAUAGAAAAUAAUAUAAAAGAAAAAUAUAAUAAUAACUUAGAUAGGUAUAAAGUGUAAGAAAAAGUUAUAUUAGAUAGAGGAUAAACAAAAAAAAGCUGAGCAUAAUAAAAGUUCUGAGAUUUUUUCAAUUCAAAACAUAAAACAAAAAAAAAAUAUA